AUCCAGCUGAUGAGUCUUAAAUAGGACGAAACGCACGUCAAACCGUAU
RNAcentral lists this non-coding RNA (48 nucleotides) under Schistosoma margrebowiei. Lineage: Eukaryota; Metazoa; Platyhelminthes; Trematoda; Strigeidida; Schistosomatidae. The record is from RNAcentral.